UAUUAGGUUGGUGCAGAAGUAAUUAUGGUUUUUGUCAAUACUUUAAUGGCAAAAACUGUAAUUACUUUUGCACCAACCUAAUA
Molecule: microRNA precursor, 83 nt
Filed under: Saimiri boliviensis boliviensis (Bolivian squirrel monkey)
Lineage: Eukaryota; Metazoa; Chordata; Mammalia; Primates; Cebidae
Description: miRNA (ENSSBOG00000001019.1)
Source: RNAcentral